Molecule: transfer RNA, 61 nt
Filed under: Cyamus boopis
Lineage: Eukaryota; Metazoa; Arthropoda; Malacostraca; Amphipoda; Cyamidae
Description: tRNA-Glu
Source: RNAcentral
AUUUCUAUAGUGUAAAUUCAAACAUAUUGUCCUUUCAAGACAAAGAUAUUAUUUAGAAAUU